This 546-nucleotide unclassified non-coding RNA is filed under the name Hevea brasiliensis (rubber tree). The record is from RNAcentral. Lineage: Eukaryota; Viridiplantae; Streptophyta; Magnoliopsida; Malpighiales; Euphorbiaceae.
UGUUGGAUGUUUCUCUCAUACAAAAGAAACAGAUUCCAAAAAGUUUCUUUGCAGCAAACACAUGUUGUCAUGCAUGGAUGAAUUGUGACCGUACAUGUGCUUUUGUUUCAGAGGUACUCAACAUGGUCAACCUACUCUUUGAAUGCUCUUAACACAACUUAUUUCAACAUCAUCAGCAAGUGAAAAAUCAUUGACAUCCACAAAACUGCUACAGGCAUGCAUGACAAUAUACUCAAUCCAGUAAAUUAAGUUACAAGACAGCUUUUGUUUUCAGGGGUUUCUUAUUUUGUAUAGCAAGGUGUAAGAGACAGAUGAAAUGGCAAAAAGGAGUAAAGUUAAUCACAAAAAUAUUUUUUCUAUAAUGAAUAUGUUAACCAGUUAAUCAAGAACUAAACUGCAUAUUUUUGAAACAGUGAAGACUUAACUGUUUAUUACAUUAAACCUUGGGUAGGAGGGUCCUGAUAAUUAACCCUAAAUGAAAUGCAUUUUGUUGUGAUCAUGAGGGUACCAAGCUUCUAUGAAAUUCUUCAACGAAUGAAUCAAGUA